This 436-nucleotide ribosomal RNA is filed under the name Staphylococcus haemolyticus. RNAcentral describes it as "partial 23S ribosomal RNA". It matches the Rfam family "Bacterial large subunit ribosomal RNA", at positions 2487 to 2925 of the family's 2925-position model. Lineage: Bacteria; Bacillati; Bacillota; Bacilli; Caryophanales; Staphylococcaceae. The record is from RNAcentral.
CUCCCCCAAGAGUUCACAUCGACGGGGAGGUUUGGCACCUCGAUGUCGGCUCAUCGCAUCCUGGGGCUGUAGUCGGUCCCAAGGGUUGGGCUGUUCGCCCAUUAAAGCGGUACGCGAGCUGGGUUCAGAACGUCGUGAGACAGUUCGGUCCCUAUCCGUCGUGGGCGUAGGAAAUUUGAGAGGAGCUGUCCUUAGUACGAGAGGACCGGGAUGGACAUACCUCUGGUGUACCAGUUGUCGUGCCAACGGCAUAGCUGGGUAGCUAUGUAUGGACGGGAUAAGUGCUGAAAGCAUCUAAGCAUGAAGCCCCCCUCAAGAUGAGAUUUCCCAACUUCGGUUAUAAGAUCCCUCAAAGAUGAUGAGGUUAAUAGGUUCGAGGUGGAAGCGUGGUGACACGUGGAGCUGACGAAUACUAAUCGAUCGAAGACUUAAUCAA